UUCCAGACUCCUACGGGAGGCAGCAGUGGGGAAUAUUGCACAAUGGGGGAAACCCUGAUGCAGCGACGCCGCGUGAGUGAAGAAGUAUUUCGGUACGUAAAGCUCUAUCAGCAGGAAAGAAAAUGACGGUACCUGACUAAGAAGCCCCGGCUAACUACGUGCCAGCAGCCGCGGUAAUACGUAGGGGGCAAGCGUUAUCCGGAUUUACUGGGUGUAAAGGGAGCGUAGGUGGCAUGGCAAGCCAGAAGUGAAAACCCGGGGCUUAACCCCGCGGAUUGCUUUUGGAACUGUCAGGCUGGAGUGCAGGAGGGGCAGGCGGAAUUCCUGGUGUAGCGGUGAAAUGCGUAGAUAUCAGGAGGAACACCGGUGGCGAAGGCGGCCUGCUGGACUGUAACUGACACUGAGGCUCGAAAGCGUGGGGAGCAAACAGGAUUAGAUACCCCCGUAAC
Molecule: ribosomal RNA, 449 nt
Filed under: uncultured bacterium
Lineage: Bacteria
Description: bacterial SSU rRNA
Rfam family: Bacterial small subunit ribosomal RNA
Source: RNAcentral